UGGGGGAUAUUGCACAAUGGAGGAAACUCUGAUGCAGCAACGCCGCGUGAGGGAAGAAGGUCUUCGGAUUGUAAACCUCUGUUUUUGGUGACGAAACAAAUGACGGUAGCCAAAGAGGAAGCCACGGCUAACUACGUGCCAGCAGCCGCGGUAAUACGUAGGUGGCAAGCGUUGUCCGGAUUUACUGGGUGUAAAGGGUGCGCAGGCGGGACUGCAAGUUGGAUGUGAAAUACCGGGGCUUAACCCCGGAGCUGCAUCCAAAACUGUGGUUCUUGAGUGGAGUAGAGGUAAGCGGAAUUCCGAGUGUAGCGGUGAAAUGCGUAGAUAUUCGGAGGAACACCAGUGGCGAAGGCGGCUUACUGGGCUCUAACUGACGCUGAGGCACGAAAGCAUGGGUAGCAAACAGGAUUAGAUACCCUGGUAGU
Molecule: ribosomal RNA, 425 nt
Filed under: uncultured Ethanoligenens sp.
Lineage: Bacteria; Bacillati; Bacillota; Clostridia; Eubacteriales; Oscillospiraceae
Description: bacterial SSU rRNA
Rfam family: Bacterial small subunit ribosomal RNA
Source: RNAcentral